GUGUUCGCCUAAAUAGGUUGAACCUCAAAAAGGCGGACAUUCGUGUCAUACCAAAUGGGCGGAUCGAGGUUCCUGUAAGAGACGGAGGCAAACAUUAGACACAUAAAGCAUGAGGCACGUUUACUUUGAACAAAUUUGAAUUCUCGAACCACGCCAAUGUGGUCUGAAAAUUGUUACAUGGAAUAAUGAAAUAGGACUUAGGUUUUAUUUCUUUGGUUUUCGGAUCCGAAGUAAUGAUCAAGGGAGACAGGUAGGGACGUUGGUAUUGUUGCGCUAGAGGUGAAAUUCAUGGACCGUAACCAGACGAACUAAAGCGAAAGCACGCAACAAGCAUGUUUUCAUUGGCCUUGAGUGAAAUUCAGAGGCUCGAAGACGAUCAGAUAUUGUCCUAGUUAUGAGACUCAAUGUUAACUGUGGUGUACAUUUCGUAC
This 431-nucleotide non-coding RNA is filed under the name Schistocephalus solidus. RNAcentral's name for it is "Eukaryotic small subunit ribosomal RNA". It matches the Rfam family "Eukaryotic small subunit ribosomal RNA", at positions 656 to 1062 of the family's 1831-position model. The record is from Rfam by way of RNAcentral. Lineage: Eukaryota; Metazoa; Platyhelminthes; Cestoda; Diphyllobothriidea; Diphyllobothriidae.